RNAcentral lists this ribosomal RNA (167 nucleotides) under Sporobolus maritimus. RNAcentral's name for it is "5.8S ribosomal RNA". It matches the Rfam family "5.8S ribosomal RNA". From Rfam's summary of the family: 5.8S ribosomal RNA (5.8S rRNA) is a component of the large subunit of the eukaryotic ribosome. It is transcribed by RNA polymerase I as part of the 45S precursor that also contains 18S and 28S rRNA. Functionally, it is thought that 5.8S rRNA may be involved in ribosome translocation. The record is from RNAcentral. Lineage: Eukaryota; Viridiplantae; Streptophyta; Magnoliopsida; Poales; Poaceae.
UCUCGGCAACGGAUAUCUUGGCUCUUGCAUCGAUGAAGAACGUAGCAAAAUGCGAUACCUGGUGUGAAUUGCAGAAUCCCGUGAACCAUCGAGUUUUUGAACGCAAGUUGCGCCCGAGGCCUCUCGGUUGAGGGCACGUCUGCCUGGGUGUCACGCCAAAAGACACU